GUGGGCUUAACGUCGAAAAAAGACGAAAGAACAAAAACUGGACAGUUGAGCAAACGACUGUCCUUGUUGAACGAUGUGUCGACGGAUAUAAUCUACUCACCGGCGCCCAUAAGUUAGGGCUGUCAGAAUCCAACAAGGAUUCGUACUGGGCCGAAACUAUUGAAAUGAUUAAUGCUGUAGGUCCGGAGCGAAGUCUCGUCGAGGCAAAAAGGAAGUGGAUCGAAGUUAAGAGUUUGACAAAGAAAAAAACACAAGAUAUGGCAAAGGAAAGACGUGCCACUGGUGGUGGACCAGCACCAGGCAAACUAAAUGCUUGGGAAGAAAAG
This is a long non-coding RNA of Dreissena polymorpha, 326 nucleotides long. RefSeq lists it as uncharacterized. The transcript is spliced from 3 exons. NCBI's taxonomy places the organism in Eukaryota, Metazoa, Mollusca, Bivalvia, Myida, Dreissenidae. The record is from RefSeq and is a predicted model, not a curated record.